UGGGGGAUUUUGCACAAUGGGCGCAAGCCUGAUGCAGCGACGCCGCGUGAGGGAUGAAGGCCUUCUGGUUGUAAACCUCUUUCUCUGGGUUGAAAGGCCAUGCUUUUGGUGUGGUUGAUUUGAACUGGUAACGAAGUACCGGCUAACUACGUGCCAGCAGCCGCGGUAAUACGUUGGGUACUAGCGUUGUCCGGAUUUAUUGGGCGUAAAGGGCUUGUAGGUGGUUUGUCGCGUCUGUCGUGAAAUCCUGUGGCUUAACCAUGGGCUGGCGGUGGGUACGGGAAGGAUUGGGUGCGGUAGGGGAGAAUGGAAUUCCUGGGUUGGCGGGGGAAUGCGCAGAUAUGAGAAGGAACACCGGUGGCGAAGGCGGGUCUCUGGGCCGUUACUGACACUGAGGAGCGAAAGCGUGGGGAGCAAACAGG
Molecule: ribosomal RNA, 422 nt
Filed under: Fusobacteriota bacterium
Lineage: Bacteria; Fusobacteriati; Fusobacteriota
Description: Fusobacteria bacterium partial 16S ribosomal RNA
Rfam family: Bacterial small subunit ribosomal RNA
Source: RNAcentral